GGAAAUUUAAAUCAUCAUCCAGACGUGGAAUUUUACCUAUUUUAUCUGAUGAGUUAAUGCACUCAAAUUCCCUGUGAGAAUUAUUCCCUCUCUGAAAGUACCAAGACAGAGGUAUAAGCAUCAACAUCCACUGAAGAACCAGAGAAGUGUGAGGGCUGGUACAUCUCACACAGUGCAAAGCCAGCACUGAGAAGAGGGGACACCUCACCUUGUAAAAAUCAUACCUAGCUCAUGGAAUUAGACCCAAGCAAGCCACAAAAGUGCAAAUCAAACACAUAAAAAACAACAACCAAAAAAAACCCACAAAAAACCAACCAACCAAAAAAAAAAAAAAAAAACCCAACAAAA
RNAcentral lists this long non-coding RNA (348 nucleotides) under Parus major (Great Tit). RNAcentral describes it as "lncRNA (ENSPMJG00000013714.1)". Lineage: Eukaryota; Metazoa; Chordata; Aves; Passeriformes; Paridae. The record is from RNAcentral.